CCUACGGGAGGCAGCAGUGGGGAAUAUUGGACAAUGGGGGGAACCCUGAUCCAGCGACGCCGCGUGAGUGAAGAAGUAUUUCGGUAUGUAAAGCUCUAUCAGCAGGGAAGCAAGAAAUGACGGUACCUGACUAAGAAGCCCCGGCUAACUACGUGCCAGCAGCCGCGGUAAUACGUAGGGGGCAAGCGUUAUCCGGAUUUACUGGGUGUAAAGGGAGCGUAGGCGGCGAUGCAAGUCUGAAGUGAAAGGCGGGGGCCUAACCCCCGGACUGCUUUGGAAACUGGAUGGCUGGAGUGCAGGAGAGGUAAGUGGAAUGCCUAGUGUAGCGGUGAAAUGCGUAGAUAUUAGGAGGAACACCAGUGGCGAAGGCGGCUUACUGGACUGUAACUGACGUUGAGGCACGAAAGCGUGGGGAGCAAACAGGAUUAGAUACCCCAGUAGUC
RNAcentral lists this ribosomal RNA (443 nucleotides) under uncultured bacterium. RNAcentral's name for it is "partial 16S ribosomal RNA". It matches the Rfam family "Bacterial small subunit ribosomal RNA", at positions 338 to 795 of the family's 1533-position model. The record is from RNAcentral.